This 2545-nucleotide ribosomal RNA is filed under the name Klebsiella pneumoniae. RNAcentral describes it as "bacterial LSU rRNA". It matches the Rfam family "Bacterial large subunit ribosomal RNA", at positions 398 to 2925 of the family's 2925-position model. The record is from RNAcentral. Lineage: Bacteria; Pseudomonadati; Pseudomonadota; Gammaproteobacteria; Enterobacterales; Enterobacteriaceae.
UGUGAACUCGAAGAGUAGGGCGGGACACGUGGUAUCCUGUCUGAAUAUGGGGGGACCAUCCUCCAAGGCUAAAUACUCCUGACUGACCGAUAGUGAACCAGUACCGUGAGGGAAAGGCGAAAAGAACCCCGGCGAGGGGAGUGAAAAAGAACCUGAAACCGUGUACGUACAAGCAGUGGGAGCACCUUCGGGUGUGACUGCGUACCUUUUGUAUAAUGGGUCAGCGACUUAUAUUCUGUAGCAAGGUUAACCGUAUAGGGGAGCCGCAGGGAAACCGAGUCUUAACUGGGCGUUAAGUUGCAGGGUAUAGACCCGAAACCCGGUGAUCUAGCCAUGGGCAGGUUGAAGGUUGGGUAACACUAACUGGAGGACCGAACCGACUAAUGUUGAAAAAUUAGCGGAUGACUUGUGGCUGGGGGUGAAAGGCCAAUCAAACCGGGAGAUAGCUGGUUCUCCCCGAAAGCUAUUUAGGUAGCGCCUCGUGAAUUCAUCUUCGGGGGUAGAGCACUGUUUCGGCUAGGGGGUCAUCCCGACUUACCAACCCGAUGCAAACUACGAAUACCGAAGAAUGUUAUCACGGGAGACACACGGCGGGUGCUAACGUCCGUCGUGAAGAGGGAAACAACCCAGACCGCCAGCUAAGGUCCCAAAGUCAUGGUUAAGUGGGAAACGAUGUGGGAAGGCACAGACAGCCAGGAUGUUGGCUUAGAAGCAGCCAUCAUUUAAAGAAAGCGUAAUAGCUCACUGGUCGAGUCGGCCUGCGCGGAAGAUGUAACGGGGCUAAACCAUGCACCGAAGCUGCGGCAGCGACACUAUGUGUUGUUGGGUAGGGGAGCGUUCUGUAAGCCUGCGAAGGUGUGCUGUGAGGCAUGCUGGAGGUAUCAGAAGUGCGAAUGCUGACAUAAGUAACGAUAAAGCGGGUGAAAAGCCCGCUCGCCGGAAGACCAAGGGUUCCUGUCCAACGUUAAUCGGGGCAGGGUGAGUCGACCCCUAAGGCGAGGCCGAAAGGCGUAGUCGAUGGGAAACAGGUUAAUAUUCCUGUACUUGGUGUUACUGCGAAGGGGGGACGGAGAAGGCUAUGUUAGCCGGGCGACGGUUGUCCCGGUUUAAGCAUGUAGGCUGAUUGUCCAGGCAAAUCCGGAUAAUCAAGGCUGAGGUGUGAUGACGAGGCACUACGGUGCUGAAGUAACAAAUGCCCUGCUUCCAGGAAAAGCCUCUAAGCAUCAGGUAACAUCAAAUCGUACCCCAAACCGACACAGGUGGUCAGGUAGAGAAUACCAAGGCGCUUGAGAGAACUCGGGUGAAGGAACUAGGCAAAAUGGUGCCGUAACUUCGGGAGAAGGCACGCUGGUGUGUAGGUGAAGUCCCUGCGGAUGGAGCUGAGACCAGUCGAAGAUACCAGCUGGCUGCAACUGUUUAUUAAAAACACAGCACUGUGCAAACACGAAAGUGGACGUAUACGGUGUGACGCCUGCCCGGUGCCGGAAGGUUAAUUGAUGGGGUUAUCCGUAAGGAGAAGCUCUUGAUCGAAGCCCCGGUAAACGGCGGCCGUAACUAUAACGGUCCUAAGGUAGCGAAAUUCCUUGUCGGGUAAGUUCCGACCUGCACGAAUGGCGUAAUGAUGGCCAGGCUGUCUCCACCCGAGACUCAGUGAAAUUGAACUCGCUGUGAAGAUGCAGUGUACCCGCGGCAAGACGGAAAGACCCCGUGAACCUUUACUAUAGCUUGACACUGAACAUUGAGCCUUGAUGUGUAGGAUAGGUGGGAGGCUUUGAAGCGUGGACGCCAGUCUGCGUGGAGCCAACCUUGAAAUACCACCCUUUAAUGUUUGAUGUUCUAACGUUGGCCCCUUACCGGGGUUGCGGACAGUGUCUGGUGGGUAGUUUGACUGGGGCGGUCUCCUCCCAAAGCGUAACGGAGGAGCACGAAGGUUAGCUAAUCCUGGUCGGACAUCAGGAGGUUAGUGCAAUGGCAUAAGCUAGCUUGACUGCGAGCGUGACGGCGCGAGCAGGUGCGAAAGCAGGUCAUAGUGAUCCGGUGGUUCUGAAUGGAAGGGCCAUCGCUCAACGGAUAAAAGGUACUCCGGGGAUAACAGGCUGAUACCGCCCAAGAGUUCAUAUCGACGGCGGUGUUUGGCACCUCGAUGUCGGCUCAUCACAUCCUGGGGCUGAAGUAGGUCCCAAGGGUAUGGCUGUUCGCCAUUUAAAGUGGUACGCGAGCUGGGUUUAGAACGUCGUGAGACAGUUCGGUCCCUAUCUGCCGUGGGCGCUGGAGAAUUGAGGGGGGCUGCUCCUAGUACGAGAGGACCGGAGUGGACGCAUCACUGGUGUUCGGGUUGUCAUGCCAAUGGCACUGCCCGGUAGCUAAAUGCGGAAGAGAUAAGUGCUGAAAGCAUCUAAGCACGAAACUUGCCCCGAGAUGAGUUCUCCCUGAGACUUUAAGUCUCCUGAAGGAACGUUAAAGACGAUGACGUUGAUAGGCCGGGUGUGUAAGCGCAGCGAUGCGUUGAGCUAACCGGUACUAAUGAACCGUGAGGCUUAACCUU